Long non-coding RNA from Fukomys damarensis (Damara mole-rat), 415 nucleotides. RefSeq lists it as uncharacterized. The record is from RefSeq and is a predicted model, not a curated record. Lineage: Eukaryota; Metazoa; Chordata; Mammalia; Rodentia; Bathyergidae. The transcript is spliced from 2 exons.
AGCUGGGAGCCUUUGAAUUCACAUCCACAAAAUGAGACCACUGCCUUACAAAGGUGUUUAUCCCCUGCUCCGUUCGGAGGGACCUCGGAGGGGAGAGGCUCCCUGCUCUCGGCCUGAAGGUCUUCACUCAGCCUUUGGGAAGGGAAGAUCCGGCUGUGGACCAUGCGGGUCGCCGAGGGAAGGACGGGGCUGCACGGGUGUCUGCAGGUUAAGGAAAAAGCUCACAUGGAAAAAAAAAAAUACCACGUCAUGAAUUACAAAUACCUGCAUUGUGAAGUAAGCCUUCUUCAUCACACUAAGCAUCCAGUAAAUACUGAACACUUUCUCCUCUCUAUCCCAGUGUGAGCUAUCAUCCCACAUCAUUACCCUGCUCCCCCAGCUCUGCCAAAAAAAAAAAAAAAAAAAAAGACUCCCA